Dromaius novaehollandiae (emu) is the source of this 1044-nucleotide long non-coding RNA. Lineage: Eukaryota; Metazoa; Chordata; Aves; Casuariiformes; Dromaiidae. The record is from Ensembl.
AAGAGAAAAUUGAGAAAGUGGGAGUGCUGAAGCACAGUCUCGCUUAUCUGUGCCCGUCUUUCAGAUGGCCAAGGGUUCUCACGCAGCGACCGUAGACGUGAGCACAUGCAGCCAUGUCCCAUCUGAACGGGAAGGAGAGGCUGUGGUGUUCGCUGAUACAUGAGGGAACUUUGAUUUUGCUGGCAGAUGCUGAUUCACACCACUGUAUUGUCUUUACUUCAAUGUUUGAUCACAGAAGUCAGGGAAGCGAUCUUCUGCUCCUUUGAGGAAAUAAAAAAGAUUCACUUUAAAGAUAAUUGACGACUGUCACCUCCUAACACAGACAUUCCUACCAGGUGACCCAGAGAGCUGCACAGAAGAAACACGUAAGAAUUGUUGCCUUGAUGAAAAGUCAGUCAAUCGAUAGAGAAAAAAGAUUCUGAGAUGAUUUUUCUGCCAAAUGAGCCAAAAUAAAGCCCUGCCUUGAGCUUUGAACCUCUAUCCAGCCAUAAGAACAAUAUCAGUGUAUGCUACACUCUUUCACUAUGGUGGUCAUUUAAUUUUUUUAGGCUAUUGCCGUGUGCAGCCUCUGUCCCAGAAUCACAAACACGGAGACAUAAAGCAGUGAAAAUGUAAAAACCUGAAGAAAUGAACCCCAAGAAUGUGCGUCCAUGCUUUCCUCCCUCUCCAGAGCUUAGUGGCUCCAGGUUCAAGGAAAACUGUAUAGCUCAGUGCUGAUGAGGUUGGAAAUGGAGCUGCAUUCAUUGCAGGGCUUUAAAGGAGGAAGAGUGCAACAUUCUGCAUUGACUAUAAACUGUUUACAAGGGGAUGAAGGCAUCUUCUCAUUGGAAAGGAUUGUUUGGUCCCAGCCCUGGCUGCACUCUGCUAAGGAGCCGUGCCGGGCGCGCAGGUGUUUCUGCCGAGCGAGCGCCCCGGCGAGCCCGAGACCCGCUCCCGUGGGCAGCUGAUGAGAGAGGGGCCGAGGCCCGUGUGGGAGGGCUGCCGGGAGUGGAGCAGCUGCAGGUGCUGCUGGUCAUGAUCGUAUCCUUCCUAGGGCUGGACUGA